CCCGCUGAACUUAAGCAUAUCAAUAAGCGGAGGGAAAAGAAACCAACAGGGAUUGCCUUAGUAACGGCGAGUGAAGCGGCAAAAGCUCAAAUUUGAAAUCUGGUUUCCUUUUUGGAGCCCGAGCUGUAAUUUGCAGAGGAUGCUUUGGGUGUGGUUGCGGUCUAAGUCCUUUGGAACGGGGCAUCAUAGAGGGUGAGAAUCCCGUCUGGGACCGCUGGCCACGCCCGUGUAAAGCUCCUUCGACGAGUCGAGUUGUUUGGGAAUGCAGCUCAAAAUGGGUGGUGAACUCCAUCUAAAGCUAAAUAUUGGCGAGAGACCGAUAGCGAACAAGUACCGUGAGGGAAAGAUGAAAAGCACUUUGGAAAGAGAGUGAAACAGUACGUGAAAUUGUUGAAAGGGAAACGCUUGAAGUCAGUCGCGUCGUCCGAGACUCAGCCUCGCCUCGGCUUGGCGUACUUCUCGGCCCGACGGGUCAGCAUCAAUUUCGCCUCUCGGAUAAUGGCGAGGGAAAAGUGACACCUUUACGGUGUGUUAUAGUCCCUCGUCGCAUGCGAGGGUCGGGAUUGAGGAACUCAGCACGCGCCCUCGGGCGUCGGGGUUUUCGCCCACGAUACGUGCUUAGGAUGUUGGCGUAAUGGCUUUAAACGACCCGUCUUGAAACACGG
Molecule: ribosomal RNA, 665 nt
Filed under: uncultured fungus
Lineage: Eukaryota; Fungi
Description: eukaryotic LSU rRNA
Rfam family: Eukaryotic large subunit ribosomal RNA
Source: RNAcentral